CUGAAGUAGAUAGUGUGACAAGUGUAUGAGAAAUGUUAUUAGAAUUUGAACAAUAACGAUUUUAGAAUGCAGAAAUUCGAAUCAAGAUAGGCAGGGGUCUUGCUAAAUUGAUACCGUACUAAUUCGAAUGAAAAAAUCAUCCGUACGAUCUGUACGGUCGCUAAACGGAGCCGCAGGAACGUUGAAAGAUGCGGGACACUUUGGACACCGAUGGGGCUUUUCUUCCGCGUGUUGCUCGAGGUGCCUUCGGAGUAACAUGAGUCUGGUAAAUCCCUUACCGCAUAUUUUACAUUUUAAGUUGUUG
RNAcentral lists this unclassified non-coding RNA (304 nucleotides) under Athalia rosae (coleseed sawfly). RNAcentral describes it as "misc RNA ENSAEAG00005007451.1". Lineage: Eukaryota; Metazoa; Arthropoda; Insecta; Hymenoptera; Athaliidae. The record is from RNAcentral.